Sceloporus undulatus (fence lizard) is the source of this 2360-nucleotide long non-coding RNA. RefSeq lists it as uncharacterized. Lineage: Eukaryota; Metazoa; Chordata; Lepidosauria; Squamata; Phrynosomatidae. The record is from RefSeq and is a predicted model, not a curated record. The transcript is spliced from 2 exons.
GUGACAAUUACCUUGCUAACAACAACAACAUUGCCCAUUCAAAAAAUCCUUGCUGAUAACACAAACAAGCCCUAGGUAAGGCAAUUCACACAUGUAAUGUGCUAAGAACCUGGUAUCUGAAUUCAAUCUCUUGUGACAGGUUGGAACUUCCUCAUGAAUUAAUUGUACCUCUGGCAUUAUCUUUUCCUCUGAUCUUUCUUUUAAAUUCAUUUUCUGCGCAAGACUACUGUAAGGCCAAUGACAGAGUGUUUGAGAGAGUCUUCUUUCCACUAGUAUUAAUAUCGCCACUUCUGAUUUUAGCUUUGUGUCCAUUUAACCCAUUUGUCUAGAGGUUGGCUGCUUUCCCUGUAUGGAAUGCAGAAGGACACUACUGACAGAAGAAGACAUAUAUUUCAUUGCAAGUAAGGUCCCCCUGUGUAUUAACUGUGGAUAGGCUUCUUUCCUCCAGCAAAACUUCCGAUCCCAGGCAAACUCAUCCAGGCCUUGAGAAGCAGGUAUCUGCAUCUGAAGCUGUGAAUCACCUUCCUGGCGCCAGCAAUCUGCAAAGCUGAGCAUGUCACAUCCUGCUCCUUCUGACACCUUGCGCCUUUGCUGCUGUGGAAAGUCACAUUUGGGCUCAGGCAGUGAAAUGUUCCAUAAUCAAGGGCCAGAAUGUCCCACAAGCUGCCUCCACGCCUUUCCUUCCAUAUGACGUGCCUGAUCUGCCUAAAGAAAUGCAAACAACACUCUAAGAAGGGUUCAUCUCUGGAAGAGCUGAGCUUCUAUAUUCAGGAUCCCAUUACUGUAUUACUAUCAUUAUCAUCAUCCCCAACUUUCCCUAGUACUGGAUUCAAAAUGGCUUACAACAUACACUCAGACCUCUAUAUCUGCAGAUUCUUUAACCAUGGAUUCAACCAUCCAUGGUUUGAAAACAUUCAUAAAAAUAUAAAUUCCAAAAAGCAAACCUUGAUUUUGCCAUUUUAUAUAAAGGAAACCAUUUUACUGUGCCACUGUAUUUAAUUGGACUUUAGUAUCCAUGGAUUUUGGUAUCCAUGAGGCAUCCUGGAACCUAAUCCCAGAGGGUGGGAAGGGCCCACCAAAACAAAUUGAACUGUAUUAAAAUACAGAGUCCUUGUACUGGAUAGGCCUAUAAUACAUUACUAAGAAAUAGGGUAGCCAAUUACAGUUCACAAGAGAGAAGAGGCAUCGACAAAAUAUUAGGUAGGUGCUGGCCUACAUAAUAAUGUAGGCAAGCACCCUACCUAAUAUUUUGUUGAUGCCUCUUCUCUUGCAUAUACUAAUGCCUCUUGCAUAUACUAAUCUAUAUGGAUAGAUGCACAUUUAAAAAUAAUAACUGUAAUUGAACUGGAAACACAAUACAGCUCAUGAUAGUGGGGAAGACUGUGAGCAGAUUACUUGUGUUUGCCCACUCUAGUCUGCUGCCCAGGUGCAAGCUGCUAGUAGGCAACGUUAUAGCCUCACCGCUCCUUCCCUUGGGCUUCUUUGUGUUUAAACUGGACUUAAAUUUGACAGCACUUAAAAAUAGCGGACAACUUAAAAAUACAGGACUGUCCCCUGACAGCCCUCUGAACAAUCAGGGACCAGGGCCAUCAUACUGAAAUGUUCAGUCAGAAGGAGGUGAAAGGUUUCCUGGAAGGCUACAGACAAUACUGAGCUUGAUAGACAAAUAUCCCUAGUAGUAUAAGGCAGUUUCUAUCAUCCAGGGUGAUCUCAUAUUACUAGGGUUUUGUCUACAAAAUACUUGAGCUCUAAUAAUCUCCCUCUCCCUCUGAUUCUUCCCUUCCCUUUAUAGAGCAGAAAUGGAUAGGCCCCAUCCUCACCAGAAAGAGACUGCAAUCCGAAAUUUGUCAUAGGAGAACCGAGAGUGGAGGAAGGAUGAAAAGAGGGUUAUUAUGAUGAAAGUAAACAAGGAAAGAAUAUACAUUUAACUUUAGGGUGACAUAGUGGUUUGAGUGUUGGACUGUGACUCUGGAGAUCAUGGUUUGCUUCCCUACUCAGCCAUGAAACCCACAUGCUCUCUGCCUCAGGGAAAGGCAAUGGAAAAGCUCCUCUGCAGAAAUCUUGCCAAGAACACCCCAUGAUACGACUCGAAGUCACACAACAACAAAGACAUAUUUAGCUUUAGCUAUCGAAUGAUGACCUUUGAUGACCGGAUAGGCAAACUGUUGUCAUUAGGGCUCACUUGCUACCCCCAUUUGGCAACGCUAACAAAACAAACACACCACCAAAUUUUAGCAACAUCACAAUAAACCUUAUUUUGUCCUUUCUCUUCCCAACUACAAAGUGGGGAGCUGUUUGAGGGCAUGAGAAGAGGGAUUCUGUGGUUCAAGAGGGAUGCACAAUAAAGAGACAGUUCUUGA